Molecule: ribosomal RNA, 460 nt
Filed under: uncultured bacterium
Lineage: Bacteria
Description: partial 16S ribosomal RNA
Rfam family: Bacterial small subunit ribosomal RNA
Source: RNAcentral
CCUACGUGCGGCAGCAGUGGGGAAUAUUGGUCAAUGGGCGAGAGCCUGAACCAGCCAAGUCGCGUGAGGGAAGACGGUCCUAUGGAUUGUAAACCUCUUUUGUCGGGGAGCAAAAAGGCCUCGUGAGGCCACAAGUGAGAGUACCCGAAGAAAAAGCAUCGGCUAACUCCGUGCCAGCAGCCGCGGUAAUACGGAGGAUGUGAGCGUUAUCCGGAUUUAUUGGGUUUAAAGGGUGCGCAGGCGGAAGAUCAAGGCAGCGGUAAAAUUGAGAGGCUCAACCUCUUCGAGCCGUUGAAACUGGUUUUCUUGAGUGAGUGAGAAGUAUGCGGAAUGCGUGGUGUAGCGGUGAAAUGCAUAGAUAUCACGCAGAACCCCGAUUGCGAAGGCAGCAUACCGGCGCCCUACUGACGCUGAGGCACGAAAGUGCGGGUAUCGAACAGUAUUAGAUACCCUUGUAGUC